RNAcentral lists this ribosomal RNA (497 nucleotides) under uncultured bacterium. Its description in RNAcentral is "partial 16S ribosomal RNA". It matches the Rfam family "Bacterial small subunit ribosomal RNA", at positions 28 to 507 of the family's 1533-position model. The record is from RNAcentral.
GAUGAACGCUGGCGGCGUGCCUAAUACAUGCAAGUCGAGCGAACAGACGAGGAGCUUGCUUCUCUGACGUUAGCCGCGGACGGGUGAGUAACAAGUGGAUCACCUACCUAUAAGACAGGGAUAACUUCGGGAAACCGUAGCUCAUAUCGGCUAAUAUAUUGAACCGGAUGGUUCAAUAGUGUAAGUCGGCUUUGCUGUUACUUAUAGAUGGAUCCGCGCUGCAUUAGUUAGUUGGUAAGGUAACGGCUUACCAAGGCGACGAAGCGUAGCCGACCUGAGAGGAUGAUCAGCCACACUGGGACUGAGACACGGUCCAGACUCCUACGGGAGGCAGCAGUAGGGAAUCUUCCGCAAUGGGCGCAAGCCUGACGGAGCAACGCCGCGUGCGGGAUGAAGGUCUUCGGGUCGUAAAACGCUGUUAGUAGGGAAGAACAAAUGUGUGAGUAAAUAUGCACGUCUUGACGGUACCUGAUGAGAAAGCCACGGCUAACUACGUG